CCUACGGGAGGCAGCAGUAGGGAAUCCUCCACAAUGGGCGAAAGCCUGAUGGAGCAACGCCGCGUGGGUGAAGAAGGUCUUCGGAUCGUAAAACCCUGUUGUUAGAGAAGAAAGUGCGUGAGAGUAACUGUUCACGUUUCGACGGUAUCUAACCAGAAAGCCACGGCUAACUACGUGCCAGCAGCCGCGGUAAUACGUAGGUGGCAAGCGUUAUCCGGAUUUUUUGGGCGUAAAGGGAACGCAGGCGGUCUUUUAAGUCUGAUGUGAAAGCCUUCGGCUUAACCGGAGUAGUGCAUUGGAAACUGGGAGACUUGAGUGCAGAAGAGGAGAGUGGAACUCCAUGUGUAGCGGUGAAAUGCGUAGAUAUAUGGAAGAACACCAGUGGCGAAAGCGGCUCUCUGGUCUGUAACUGACGCUGAGGUUCGAAAGCGUGGGUAGCAAACAGGAUUAGAUACCCCAGUAGUC
Molecule: ribosomal RNA, 465 nt
Filed under: uncultured bacterium
Lineage: Bacteria
Description: partial 16S ribosomal RNA
Rfam family: Bacterial small subunit ribosomal RNA
Source: RNAcentral